Molecule: small RNA, 1321 nt
Filed under: Aplysia californica (California sea hare)
Lineage: Eukaryota; Metazoa; Mollusca; Gastropoda; Aplysiida; Aplysiidae
Description: pKA type II regulatory subunit
Source: RNAcentral
UGUUCAAGGCUGACCCAACCGCUACUGUGGAGAAAGAGAUCAGCCGUGUCGGGCCCGGGGGCUAUUUCGGACUGGAUGUGCACGCGUUUGAGCGGCUGAUGGGCCCCUGCAUGGACAUCAUGAAGCGCAACAUCGGCCACUACGAGUCGCAGCUGCUGCACAUAUUUGGGGACAAGGCCAACAUCUCGGACCUGCGGUGAAGACGGCGCCGGCCCUAGAAACAUAGAUCUAUUUUUUUUCCCGUUAUCUCAGAAUGUGACGAUGAUUAAUUAACUUUCUCGUAGUUCCUCCUCUAGUAAAUGAACUUUUGGUUUACCGCAUCAUUUUUUAAUUUUUUUGUUUAAUUUUUGUUUGUUUUUGUUUUGUUUUGUUUUUUCUUUUAAUUUUUCAUUUGUAUUCCACGCAUGUAAGAGAGAGAGAGAGAGAGAGAGUGAAAGGGGAUGGAAGGAGAGAGACAGUGAGAGAGAGAAUGUGGAAGAUUUUGAUUAAAAGGUGCUGAGUGGCCUUACGACUGCGUUUUCAUGAAUGUGACUAUAUGUGUGUUGUUAGUCAGUGUGUUUGUUAUUGUUUUUGUGUCGUGGGAUAGUGUGUCUGUCAGUGUGUCUGUCGCGGUGUGUCGCUGUGCACUUUUCUGUUUCUCUGCUAGGUGGAUAUGGCAUGUGUGUAUUUAUACAUAUCUCAAUGUUAUGUUGCCUCGUAAUCUCGAGAGAAACUUGUGUUUGCUCUCCACUGAUGUUGGAAUUACCAAAUGUUUGCAGUCAGGCGUUUGCUAUUCAUUUUGUUGUUUGCACUUUCGUAGCUCCCUAUGUUUAUAUAAAUUAUAUGUUUCAUAGCACUGCAGUGGUCGGGCCCAGGUUCGAAUCCCUCUUAAACAUUUUGCUGUCACAAGGCUCAUGUAGUGUGGGUGGUUGGCGGGUGCUCUGGUGUGGUCUGCUCCUUCUUUUCUGUCAAACAUCUAUCGUCCUUUUCUCUCCUCCUCCUUCUUUUUUGUGCUUGUUACUCUCUUGUAACACCUCUAAUCUUCGGCACUUAUAUGACCCCCUUAUUGUGUUGCAAAUGCCGUAAAAGUCUUACUAAAACUAAAGCACUCAGUAUUAGUGAUAGGAAACUCGGUGAAGUGCACUCUGUCGGCUUUUCUUGUUCUUUUCGCUCGCUCUCGUUCAUUUCGCUGUCUCUUCUUUCACUGCAGACCUUGCAAACUGGGGUCAGGUUAUCGUAGUGAGCAAUGGUCUACUUGUGUUAACUCAUUCUGUUUUUAAUUAACAGGUUUUUUGGCUGGACUUGGCUUUAGGUGUCAAUGUGUACAUCUUUGUGUGUGUGU